Molecule: ribosomal RNA, 253 nt
Filed under: uncultured bacterium
Lineage: Bacteria
Description: partial 16S ribosomal RNA
Rfam family: Bacterial small subunit ribosomal RNA
Source: RNAcentral
UACGAAGGGGGCUAGCGUUGUUCGGAAUUACUGGGCGUAAAGGGCGCGUAGGCGGUACUUCAAGUCAGGCGUGAAAGCCCCGGGCUCAACCUGGGAACCGCGCUUGAGACUGGAGAACUAGAGUUCGGGAGAGGAUGGUGGAAUUCCCAGUGUAGAGGUGAAAUUCGUAGAUAUUGGGAAGAACACCGAUGGCGAAGGCAGCCAUCCGGACCGACACUGACGCUGAGGCGCGAAAGCGUGGGGAGCAAACAGG